AGUGAACGCUGGCGGUAGGCCUAACACAUGCAAGUCGAACGGCAGCACAGUAAGAGCUUGCUCUUACGGGUGGCGAGUGGCGGACGGGUGAGGAAUACAUCGGAAUCUACUUUUUCGUGGGGGAUAACGUAGGGAAACUUACGCUAAUACCGCAUACGACCUACGGGUGAAAGCAGGGGAUCUUCGGACCUUGCCCGAUUGAAUGAGCCGAUGUCGGAUUAGCUAGUUGGCGGGGUAAAGGCCCACCAAGGCGACGAUCCGUAGCUGGUCUGAGAGGAUGAUCAGCCACACUGGAACUGAGACACGGUCCAGACUCCUACGGGAGGCAGCAGUGGGGAAUAUUGGACAAUGGGCGCAAGCCUGAUCCAGCCAUACCGCGUGGGUGAAGAAGGCCUUCGGGUUAUAAAGCCCUUUUGUUGGGAAAGAAAAGCAGCAGGUUAAUACCCCGCUGUUCUGACGGUACCCAAAGAAUAAGCACCGGCUAACUUCGUG
RNAcentral lists this ribosomal RNA (492 nucleotides) under uncultured bacterium. RNAcentral's name for it is "partial 16S ribosomal RNA". It matches the Rfam family "Bacterial small subunit ribosomal RNA", at positions 29 to 507 of the family's 1533-position model. The record is from RNAcentral.